This is a long non-coding RNA of Ricinus communis (castor bean), 1931 nucleotides long. RefSeq lists it as uncharacterized. The record is from RefSeq and is a predicted model, not a curated record. NCBI's taxonomy places the organism in Eukaryota, Viridiplantae, Streptophyta, Magnoliopsida, Malpighiales, Euphorbiaceae. The transcript has 3 exons.
CUUUUUUUUUCUAUUUCUUUCUUAUUUCUUAGCCAAAUUUCAUAAAAUUUGUCCCAAAAUGGCUAGCUCUUCCUCGAGAUUUGUUGGACACACCCUACUUGCACUAGAUUGAGACUUUUCACCACUAAUUUCGCGAUAAAAAGAAGUUGGGCUCGUGAAUAAGGAGGAAAUCCACGUUCUGGCCAAAUUAAGCACGCAUUGAGUGUGUUUCAAUCGUCCAUGAGGUAUUUUUCUUUCGCUAAACACUCUUUCCUGUCUUUCUUUUCGAGCUGCCGAGUUCUGUCCAGGCUUGGAUUGGUGACACCCAAUUUUACCAGUUUGUUUAUACUUUUCCUUCUAUUGCUUGGAGGAUCGAUCAUACCUCAUUCUAUACGCUGGUCAACGGGUGGAUGAACACCAAGCAUACCUUUCACAUCCGAGUUAGAGAGUUGAUAAUGUCUCUGCUAUCUUUUACUACCAUCACCAACAUCAACUUCAUUAGCACGCCUGUACCUUUUGAUGAUGCUAUCUAUAACCUAUAGUCUGAUGCUCAGAACCAGUUCGUCAUUGAUUUUCUAGGGUUGCCUAUGCGCAAGAACAUAUGAUGCCUAGCUUAUAAGAGCAUUUCCCUCCAUUAUAGGGGAUUCACACCUCGGUCUACACGAAAGGUGGAUCAGAUAGCUUGGACAUUCCUUGUGUACCUUUUUGAAACUACCUUGUUUAGUGAUUCAAGGAACUCACUAAACCUCCACCACUUGGCUCCCUUGAGGGACUUGGACCAUGUCUCCUCCUUCAACUGAGGGUCUAUAGCUCUCGCAUAUAUGUAUGAGUUGAUGGACAUCACAGUCCGUGAGAGCAAGAGGCUCUAUGAUUUCUAGCAUGAUGUACAUGUAAGUUCUGGUUUAUAUUUUUUAUUCCUUGCUCUCUUAUGUUUGUAUGCAAGCUAUUAAAUCUUUGGAUGCAGGUAUGGGCCUUGGAGAUCGGCCUUCUAGUAAGCUCUUAGCCUAUUAGCAUGUCUUGAGCCUUUCCUCACUUGUGCUGCUAAGGUUGAGCGUAGAAGCAUCCCCCUAGAGUGGGCGUAGGUCCACGUGCACCGUAUGUGGAUCAACUCCAUAUCAUAGGAAAAGAUUCAUGAUGACUAUCUUGGGGAGUGCCACCACUGAGAUCCUUAUUUGUUAUCCAUUGUCGGUCUCGAGCAUAAGAGGGUUCUCUUGGCCGACCUCUCUUUUCGAGUGUGGUAUUUGUUAGAGAGGAUCUAUGGCUGGGAGAGUGAGCCUAACAGAAAAAUGAGUGCAUUUGUCUCAUCGUCUAUCUAUGUUCUAAACUGUUGAUGUUGCCGAUGAGAAGCUGACGAUCAGCUUAGAAGGGUACAACGGCUCGAGGAUUUUAUGAUCCAAUCUCGAAGGACAAACUACAUCUCCUUUACAUCCUAGCUGCUAUAGCAUGUAUCCCUAGACCGCGAGACUAUCGCCAAGUUCUUACGCCCUGCACGUCUAAAACAAGGGAAGGACACUUCCAAGCUCUUGAUAAGUUCUUAGGACGACUGGAACGAUAUAAAUUGAGGCUUAAUAUGAAGAAGAGUGUUUUUAGAGUAACAUCAGGGAAGCUGCUAGGGCACAUAGUGAGUCAGCUGGGAAUGGAGAUUGAUCCAAACAAGGUAAAGGCUAUUCAAGAGAUGCCAGCGUUGAAGACAAAAACAGAAAUCAGAGGAUUUCUAGGAUGCCUACAAUACAUCAACAGGUUCAUUUUCAAGCUUACGAUGGUUUAUGAUCCCAUAUUCAAGCUUUUAAGGAAACACCAACCCGUUGUGUGGGAUGAGCAUUGUCAGAAAGCCUUCGAUAAAAUUAAAGAGUAUGUAAUGAAGCCGCCAGUACUAAAGCCACUGAAAGAUGAAAAGUAUUUGAUUUUGUACUUAGCCUUGGAUGAGGAAGUGAUAAGUGCUAUCUGUGUUA